UUACGUUCACGAAAUGAGGAUAACAGAACACAUGUCUUUUUAGAUCCACCAAAGACACCAAUACAGAUUUUAUAUCAGUGAAUCGGGUUUCUAUAUCUGAUAUAAUCUAUAGGAAUGUCGGUUAUUAUCUAUAUUUCAUCGUAUGUGACGUAUAUAGGAAUGGCUACUUGUAUGCUAUGCCCGCAUGUUUCCCAAUGGAAAUUGAGAGCAAGGGGAUAUUGUAACAGCAGUCAUCCAUGGUACAGUUGCCUAUAUGACGAAAAUAGCAUGACUUAUAAAGAAUUCUGCAAACCAAGUCCAGAUUUUCAACGUCCAGGUUACAAAUUUGUUAUACGAGGUGACAUUGAUGGAAAACCCUGUGAUGACGAGCAUUACCAGCCAAUUAAGUUUUGGACAAAUGGAAGUAGUGCAUGCAUAUUUAAGAAGUCGGAUUGCAACGGUAAAGGUCAGACUGUAUCAAACAAUGGCAAUGUCACGUCAAAUAAGAUGUGUCAAUGUGACUACACAAAAGGCUACACAUUCGUUGCCAAACCAAGGAAUGGUUGUCACUGUGACCCGGCAAGAGAAGAUUGUUCGUGCUAUUUGAUAUCAUGCUUGUCUAUUGGAGUUCUUU
Molecule: long non-coding RNA, 613 nt
Organism: Mytilus californianus (California mussel)
Lineage: Eukaryota; Metazoa; Mollusca; Bivalvia; Mytilida; Mytilidae
Exons: 3
Source: RefSeq, a predicted model, not a curated record